RNAcentral lists this ribosomal RNA (545 nucleotides) under uncultured bacterium. RNAcentral describes it as "bacterial SSU rRNA". It matches the Rfam family "Bacterial small subunit ribosomal RNA", at positions 355 to 895 of the family's 1533-position model. The record is from RNAcentral.
UAGGGAAUUUUUCACAAUGAGCGAAAGCUUGAUGGAGCAAUGCCGCGUGAACGAUGAAGGUCUUUAAGAUUGUAAAGUUCUUUUAUUUGGGAAGAAUGACUUUAGCAGGUAAUGGCUAGAGUUUGACUGUACCAUUUUGAAUAAGUGACGACUAACUAUGUGCCAGCAGUCGCGGUAAUACAUAGGUCGCAAGCGUUAUCCGGAUUUAUUGGGCGUAAAGCAAGCGCAGGCGGAUUGAAAAGUCUGGUGUUAAAGGCAGCUGCUUAACAGUUGUAUGCAUUGGAAACUAUUAAUCUAGAGUGUGGUAGGGAGUUUUGGAAUUUCACGUGGAGCGGUGAAAUGCGUAGAUAUAUGAAGGAACACCAGUGGCGAAGGCGAAAACUUAGGCCAUUACUGACGCUUAGGCUUGAAAGUGUGGGGAGCAAAUAGGAUUAGAUACCCUAGUAGUCCACACCGUAACGAUAGAUACUAGCUGUCGGGGCGAUCCCCUCGGUAGUGAAGUUAACACAUUAAGUAUCUCGCCUGGGUAGUACAUUCGCAAGAAU